UCGUCAGCUCGUGUCGUGAGAUGUUGGGUUAAGUCCCGCAACGAGCGCAACCCCUGUUCUUAGUUGCCAGCACGUUAAGGUGGGAACUCUAAGAAGACUGCCGGUGAUAAAUCGGAGGAAGGUGGGGACGACGUCAAAUCAUCAUGCCCUUUAUGUCCUGGGCUACACACGUACUACAAUGGCUAUUACAGAGGGAAGCUAAGCCGCGAGGUGGAGCAAAACCCAAAAAAGUAGUCUCAGUUCGGAUUGAAGGCUGAAAUUCGCCUUCAUGAAGCCGGAAUUGCUAGUAAUGGCAGGUCAGCAUACUGCCGUGAAUACGUUCCCGGGCCUUGUACACACCGCCCGUCACACCAUGAGAGUUGGGAAUACCCGAAGCCUGUGAGCUAACUUUUAGAGGCAGCAGUCGAAGGUAGAAUCAAUGAUUGGGGUGAAGUCGUAACAAGGUAACCGUA
Molecule: ribosomal RNA, 452 nt
Filed under: uncultured bacterium
Lineage: Bacteria
Description: bacterial SSU rRNA
Rfam family: Bacterial small subunit ribosomal RNA
Source: RNAcentral